Molecule: microRNA precursor, 204 nt
Filed under: Oryza barthii
Lineage: Eukaryota; Viridiplantae; Streptophyta; Magnoliopsida; Poales; Poaceae
Description: MIR812 microRNA precursor family
Rfam family: MIR812 microRNA precursor family
Source: Rfam by way of RNAcentral
AAAAAGACAAACCCUGGUUUCCGUGUCUAAUGUUUGAUCAUCCGUCUUAUUUGAAAAAAUUAUGAAAAAAAUAAAAAAACAAGUCACGCAUAAAAUAUUAAUCAUGUUUUAUCAUCUAACAACAAUGAAAAUACGAAUUAUAAAAAAAUUUCAUAUAAAACGGACAGUUAAAAUUGGACAUAGAAACCCAGGGUUUGCCUUUCU